RNAcentral lists this ribosomal RNA (301 nucleotides) under uncultured bacterium. RNAcentral describes it as "partial 16S ribosomal RNA". It matches the Rfam family "Bacterial small subunit ribosomal RNA", at positions 509 to 807 of the family's 1533-position model. The record is from RNAcentral.
CAGUCGCCGCGGUAAUACGUAGGCGGCAAGCGUUGUCCGGAAUUAUUGGGCGUAAAGGGCUCGCAGGCGGUUUCUUAAGUCUGAUGUGAAAGCCCCCGGCUCAACCGGGGAGGGUCAUUGGAAACUGGGAAACUUGAGUGCAGAAGAGGAGAGUGGAAUUCCACGUGUAGCGGUGAAAUGCGUAGAGAUGUGGAGGAACACCAGUGGCGAAGGCGACUCUCUGGUCUGUAACUGACGCUGAGGAGCGAAAGCGUGGGGAGCGAACAGGAUUAGAUACCCCUGUAGUCCCUGUCUCUUAUAC